RNAcentral lists this long non-coding RNA (949 nucleotides) under Pongo abelii (Sumatran orangutan). Its description in RNAcentral is "lincRNA". Lineage: Eukaryota; Metazoa; Chordata; Mammalia; Primates; Hominidae. The record is from RNAcentral.
ACCCACAGAUGUGAAUGUCGUGUGAUGUUGGCUUUCCAGUGUCUUGCAUGGCGUGGUAGCAGCAGAAAUGAGCUUGGCUGGGCACCCUCUUGGCCUUGGAGGCCAGCCUGGGCUCCUCUGAAAAUACAGGCAGCUUCCUUUCCCUGACUUGCCUGGAGGAGCCAGGCCCUGUGGUGCGGUCUGGCUGUGAGGCCUGUGGUCCUGCUUGGGACUGGCAGUCUUAGGCUGAGGGAACAUUUUCCAGAGUAUAGCCGAGGGACAGAAUGUCUCAGUAAGACGGGCUCGGAGGGGCAGGGUUUUGGAAAGGCCUCUGCUUGUUCUGGGAGGCAUUCAGGAUGCUGAGGUUUUGGAAAUCCAUGGCGGCUCUUCACAACUGCUCCCAGCUUUGGGAGGAGGAAUAGACGGGUGCUCGUUUCCUCGGGUUCAGUGGCAAAGGUGAAGCCCAGCACUGCUGACCUGGGACCUGGGCCUCUCCCGGGCCUGGGGAGGACACUGGACUUUGAAGAGGAAUGCAGCCUAGAAGGCCUGGACCCUGGAGUCAUGAGAUGCUGCUCCCAUCCAGUAAGCCCUGGCUGGAGCUCUUCUGGGCACCAACCCUGGCAUAAAACCAGUGGGGCCUCUGGGCCUGCAUUCAACAGUGCCUCUGAUGGAGCAGCUUCAGCUUGGUUGUGACCUCUGCUAGAAGCCCUCCCUGGCCUCCCGGUGCACUGAGCUGGCAGUUCCUCCUUUGCGCCCCAGGUACAUGCUCAGAUCUGUGUACCCUCCACUUUGUCCUCCAGCUUCGUGUUUGGAUGUUCACAACUCCCAUGAAAAGGGCCCUCGAGAGCUGGCGCAGUGCACGUUUCCUCUCCAGACUUCUACGAACCCAGCACGUAAUUGUUUGCUGAAAGAUGGCAUGUUCCUAAAACAGAGGAAGUAGAAUCUGAAUAAAGCAAAAUCCAACUUCCCA